AUGUUUGAUUGCAACGGGGAAUCCCAACAGCAGGUAGGGGAUGGAAUCUGGGCUGAACUCAGGGAGAAUGAAGACCAUAUAACACCUUGCCCCAAGGAUACGAAGGAUAGUAGAUCAAUCUGUGUUCGAGACCAGAAGAAGAAUGAUGAUGAAGCAGCUAGUGUUGUGGGCCUUACUGAAUGUACUUCAGGGGGUCAAACUGAACAUCCUGGUUUGGAAAAGCAGGCUGCCACUGAGGCUAGUGGACAUUAUUCAGCUGCACAACUUGACAUAGAAUCCUGGCCUGACCUGCCUCUCCCGAGCACUGCAUUUGAUAGAAACUACAAUGACUAUAAUAUAGCAUCAACAUAUUUGGAUUUCAAUUCUGCAUCUAGUUUACAAAAAGUUACCAGAAGCGUGUCAGUGCAGCUGGAUGGUGAAUCUGAAGUGUUUGGCAAUGAGAAUGAAGAAAAGAGCAACAACCUUCUCGACUGUGACUGGGGCAAUAUUGGAGAUUUUGAUGAUUUUGACUACUUGUUUAGCAACACUGAAGCCUUAUUUGGAAAUGAGAUGAUUGUUAAUGGCAGUAAUUUCCUUGUUACGAGUUCAGAUGUGGUUGUCGGUACUGUACAAUCAAUCCCCUUUCCGUGUAUACCAUUAAAUAAGCAACCAUCUUCUGAUUGUGGAUCUUCUUCGGUUCUGAUUAAUUGUACUCCCAGUAAAAUAGCCAAACAAGAAAUCAAGCUGGAUGCCAGGACUCGACUCUGCAUUUGA
Molecule: ribosomal RNA, 753 nt
Filed under: Triticum aestivum (bread wheat)
Lineage: Eukaryota; Viridiplantae; Streptophyta; Magnoliopsida; Poales; Poaceae
Description: partial small subunit ribosomal RNA
Source: RNAcentral